This 253-nucleotide ribosomal RNA is filed under the name uncultured bacterium. RNAcentral's name for it is "partial 16S ribosomal RNA". It matches the Rfam family "Bacterial small subunit ribosomal RNA", at positions 524 to 776 of the family's 1533-position model. The record is from RNAcentral.
UACGUAGGGGGCAAGCGUUGUCCGGAUUUACUGGGCGUAAAGAGCGCGUAGGCGGAACGUUAAGUCCGAUCUGAAAGCCCCCGGCUCAACCGGGGAGGGUGGUUGGAAACUGGCGUUCUUGAGGGCGAUAGAGGAAGGUGGAAUUCCUGGUGUAGCAGUGAAAUGCGUAGAGAUCAGGAGGAACACCCGGGGCGAAGGCGGCCCUCUGGCUCGACCCUGACGCUGAGGCGCGAAAGCGUGGGGAGCGAACGGG